Molecule: ribosomal RNA, 253 nt
Filed under: uncultured bacterium
Lineage: Bacteria
Description: partial 16S ribosomal RNA
Rfam family: Bacterial small subunit ribosomal RNA
Source: RNAcentral
GACGGAGGAUGCAAGUGUUAUCCGGAAUCACUGGGCGUAAAGCGUCUGUAGGUGGUCAAAUAAGUCAACUGUUAAAUCUUGAGGCUCAACCUCAAAAUCGCAGUCGAAACUAUUAGACUAGAGUAUAGUAGGGGUAAAGGGAAUUUCAAGUGGAGCGGUGAAAUGCGUAGAGAUUGGAAAGAACACCGAUGGCGAAGGCACUUUACUGGGCUAUUACUAACACUGAGAGAAGAAAGCUAGGGUAGCAAAUGGG